RNAcentral lists this ribosomal RNA (454 nucleotides) under Entrophospora claroidea. Its description in RNAcentral is "partial large subunit ribosomal RNA". It matches the Rfam family "Eukaryotic large subunit ribosomal RNA", at positions 358 to 668 of the family's 3401-position model. Lineage: Eukaryota; Fungi; Glomeromycota; Glomeromycetes; Entrophosporales; Entrophosporaceae. The record is from RNAcentral.
GGAAAGAUGAAAAGAACUUUGAAAAGAGAGUUAAACAGUUCGUGAAAUUGUUGAAAGGGAAACGAUUGAAGUCAGUCGUGCUGGCGCGAAAUCAACCCUCUCGUCGAGAGGACACAUGGCGUGGCGAGCCUCAAAACCGUCACGAAGCGUGAACUCUUGGCGAAAAGGAGCACUUUCGUGUCCGCUGGUUAACAUCAAUUUCGAACGUCAUAAAAAGGCUGGAGGGAUGUGGCUCCUUCGGGAGUGUUAUAACCUUUAGCGGAAUGUGGUGGUCGGGAUUGAGGAUUGCAACGAAUACCUUUAGGGCUGUUCCACCUGGCUUCUCUUUGGCAUCCUGGUGACGACAGCUUGCUGACGUUGUUAGGAAUCGCCUUUGAACAGGCUAGAGUGUGAGCAAAUUCGUUAAGGAUGUUAACGUAAUGGCUUUAAACGACCCGUCUUGAAACACGGACCA